GCCUGAGAGGGUGACCGGCCACACUGGGACUGAGACACGGCCCAGACUCCUACGGGAGGCAGCAGUGGGGAAUAUUGCACAAUGGGCGCRAGCCUGAUGCAGCAACGCCGCGUGGGGGAUGACGGCCUUCGGGUUGUAAACCUCUUUUAGUAGGGAAGAAGCGCAAGUGACGGUACCUGCAGAAAAAGCACCGGCUAACUACGUGCCAGCAGCCGCGGUAAUACGUAGGGUGCAAGCGUUGUCCGGAUUUAUUGGGCGUAAAGAGCUCGUAGGCGGUUUGUCGCGUCUGCUGUGAAAGCCCGAGGCUCAACCUCGGGUCUGCAGUGGGUACGGGCAGGCUAGAGUGCGGUAGGGGAGAUUGGAAUUCCUGGUGUAGCGGUGGAAUGCGCARAUAUCAGGAGGAACACCGAUGGCGAAGGCAGAUCUCUGGGCCGUUACUGACGCUGAGGAGCGAAAGCAUGGGGAGC
RNAcentral lists this ribosomal RNA (467 nucleotides) under Microbacteriaceae bacterium MUU1. RNAcentral's name for it is "bacterial SSU rRNA". It matches the Rfam family "Bacterial small subunit ribosomal RNA", at positions 290 to 769 of the family's 1533-position model. Lineage: Bacteria; Bacillati; Actinomycetota; Actinomycetes; Micrococcales; Microbacteriaceae. The record is from RNAcentral.